UUAAAUUUUGUUUGUGACAUUCACAAUAUAAUACUCAAAAAGUGGAUUGAACGGCAACGACGAAAAAUCAAGAAAACUUGCUUCUUCGCCGCCUCCACUAUUACCGCUAGGAAAUAGUAGAGAACUUUGGAAGAAACUACUCCAUUUGCAUUGAUGUACAAAACAAAUUGAGUAGCCUCAGCUAAAGUUGAAGUGGUUCACGUGUAAGUUGUUAAAUAGACGUGUUAAUGAUCCUUCCGCAGGUUCACCUACGGAAA
This 257-nucleotide unclassified non-coding RNA is filed under the name uncultured fungus. RNAcentral describes it as "sequence contains ITS1". Lineage: Eukaryota; Fungi. The record is from RNAcentral.